AUUGAACGCUGGCGGCAGGCCUAACACAUGCAAGUCGAGCGAGCGGCGGACGGGUGAGUAAUGUAUGGGGACUGCCCGAUAGAGGGGGAUAACUCCUGGAACCGGUAGCUAAUACCGCAUACUAUCGGCUCCCCCCUCUGGGCUUAGCUAGUAGGUGAGGUAAUGGCUCACCUAGGCGACGAUCCCUAGCUGGUCUGAGAGGAUGAUCAGCCACACUGGGACUGAGACACGGCCCAGACUCCUACGGAGGCAGCAGUGGGGAAUAUUGCACAAUGGGCGCAAGCCUGAUGCAGCCAUGCCGCGUGUAUGAAGAAGGCCCUAGGGUUGUAAAGUACUUUCAGUCGGGAGGCGUGACCGACAGAAGAAGCACCGGCUAACUCCGUGCCAGCAGCCGCGGUAAUUC
This 403-nucleotide ribosomal RNA is filed under the name uncultured bacterium. RNAcentral describes it as "partial 16S ribosomal RNA". It matches the Rfam family "Bacterial small subunit ribosomal RNA", at positions 30 to 526 of the family's 1533-position model. The record is from RNAcentral.